UAAAUAAUCUGGUAAAAAUGUGAUUGUUUACUUCCGGUGCAGGUUACUUUCUUAUAUGCAAUGAAAUGUAGUGUGAAAUUUUCACUGUAGCACUGGAAAGGAUUAAACUUUAUUCAUGCAAAGUAUUUCUUUGGUUGAAAUAAAGUGUUCACAUGUUCUGAAGAGCAUUCUGUUGAAAAAUCUUAUAUGUGAAUUGGUCUGCAGAUGACACUUCAGCAUUAAAACAAAAGAUAUCAAGUUUUGAUGAAAAAGGAAGGAAGGAGGAAAAAUGGACCAAAACAGACCAAAACAGACCUUCAAAUGAACUCUAAAAGUGUUCACAUGUUCUGAAGAGCAUUCUGUUGAAAAAUCUUAUAUGUGAAUUGGUCUGCAGAUGACACUUCAGCAUUAAAACAAAAGAUAUCAAGUUUUGAUGAAAAAGGAAGGAAGGAGGAAAAAUGGACCAAAACAGACCAAAACAGACCUUCAAAUGAACUCUAAAAGUGUUCACAUGUUCUGAAGAGCAUUCUGUUGAAAAAUCUUAUAUGUGAAUUGGUCUGCAGAUGACACUUCAGCAUUAAAACAAAAGAUAUCAAGUUUUGAUGAAAAAGGAAGGAAGGAGGAAAAAUGGACCAAAACAGACCAAAACAGACCUUCAAAUGAACUCUAAAAGUGUUCACAUGUUCUGAAGAGCAUUCUGUUGAAAAAUCUUAUAUGUGAAUUGGUCUGCAGAUGACACUUCAGCAUUAAAACAAAAGAUAUCAAGUUUUGAUGAAAAAGGAAGGAAGGAGGAAAAAUGGACCAAAACAGACCAAAACAGACCUUCAAAUGAACUCUAAAAGUGUUCACAUGUUCUGAAGAGCAUUCUGUUGAAAAAUCUUAUAUGUGAAUUGGUCUGCAGAUGACACUUCAGCAUUAAAACAAAAGAUAUCAAGUUUUGAUGAAAAAGGAAGGAAGGAGGAAAAAUGGACCAAAACAGACCAAAACAGACCUUCAAAUGAACUCUAAAAGUGUUCACAUGUUCUGAAGAGCAUUCUGUUGAAAAAUCUUAUAUGUGAAUUGGUCUGCAGAUGACACUUCAGCAUUAAAACAAAAGAUAUCAAGUUUUGAUGAAAAAGGAAGGAAGGAGGAAAAAUGGACCAAAACAGACCAAAACAGACCUUCAAAUGAACUCUAAAAGGUGCAAUAAAAUUGUUUAUCAUCUAAAAGUUGUCUUUUGUAUUCUAU
This is a long non-coding RNA of Mytilus trossulus (common blue mussel), 1206 nucleotides long. RefSeq lists it as uncharacterized. The transcript has 13 exons. The record is from RefSeq and is a predicted model, not a curated record. NCBI's taxonomy places the organism in Eukaryota, Metazoa, Mollusca, Bivalvia, Mytilida, Mytilidae.